GCCGUUAUAUAUAUAAUAAACGUAGAUAACUUAUCAACACUGGUUCUAUGGUCUAGUGGUCAGGACAUUGGACUCUGAAUCCAGUAACCCGAGUUCAAAUCUCGGUAGAACCUC
RNAcentral lists this transfer RNA (114 nucleotides) under Rosa chinensis. RNAcentral describes it as "sRNA RchiOBHm_Chr7g0194151". The stretch from base 42 to 113 matches the Rfam family "tRNA". From Rfam's summary of the family: Transfer RNA (tRNA) molecules are approximately 80 nucleotides in length. Their secondary structure includes four short double-helical elements and three loops (D, anti-codon, and T loops). The record is from RNAcentral. Lineage: Eukaryota; Viridiplantae; Streptophyta; Magnoliopsida; Rosales; Rosaceae.